GACGAACGCUGGCGGCGUGCCUAAUACAUGCAAGUUGAGCGAUGAAGAUUGGUGCUUGCACCAAUUUGAAGAGCAGCGAGCGGGUGAGUAACGCGUGGGGAAUCUGCCUUUGAGCGGGGGACAACAUUUGGAAACGAAUGCUAAUACCGCAUAACAACUUUAAACAUAAGUUUUAAGUUUGAAAGAUGCAAUUGCAUCACUCAAAGAUGAUCCCGCGUUGUAUUAGCUAGUUGGUGAGGUAAAGGCUCACCAAGGCGAUGAUACAUAGCCGACCUGAGAGGGUGAUCGGCCACAUUGGGACUGAGACACGGCCCAAACUCCUAAGGGAGGCAGCAGUAGGGAAUCUUCGGCAAUGGACGAAAGUCUGACCGAGCAACGCCGCGUGAGUGAAGAAGGUUUUCGGAUCGUAAAACUCUGUUGGUAGAGAAGAACGUUGGUGAGAGUGGAAAGCUCAUCAAGUGACGGUAACUACCCAGAAAGGGACGGCUAACUACGUG
This 497-nucleotide ribosomal RNA is filed under the name uncultured bacterium. RNAcentral describes it as "partial 16S ribosomal RNA". It matches the Rfam family "Bacterial small subunit ribosomal RNA", at positions 28 to 507 of the family's 1533-position model. The record is from RNAcentral.